Molecule: ribosomal RNA, 151 nt
Filed under: uncultured bacterium
Lineage: Bacteria
Description: partial 16S ribosomal RNA
Source: RNAcentral
AAACGCCAGUUUGGAUUUGUGAGGGUGCGCUAUCGCGGACUCAAGAAGAACACGGCUCAGCUUGUGACGCUGUUUGCGCUGACCAAUCUGUGGAUGGUGCGCUCCAAAUUGAUGGCGGUUCAGGCAUGAGUGCGCCUAAAAACGGGGCAUA